GGGAACCUCACCCGGCCCGGACACCGCGAGGAUUGACAGACUGAGAGCUCUUUCUCGAUUCGGUGGGUGGUGGUGCAUGGCCGUUCUUAGUUGGUGGAGCGAUCUGUCUGGUUAAUUCCGAUAACGAACGAGACCCCAACCUGCUAAAUAGUGUCUGCUUCUCUUUUGAGCAGACAAUUCUUCUUAGAGGGACUGGCGACUCUUAGUCGCACAAGAUUGAGCAAUAA
This 227-nucleotide ribosomal RNA is filed under the name uncultured eukaryote. RNAcentral describes it as "partial 18S ribosomal RNA". It matches the Rfam family "Eukaryotic small subunit ribosomal RNA", at positions 1208 to 1456 of the family's 1831-position model. The record is from RNAcentral.